This 424-nucleotide ribosomal RNA is filed under the name Verrucomicrobiota bacterium. RNAcentral's name for it is "Verrucomicrobia bacterium partial 16S ribosomal RNA". It matches the Rfam family "Bacterial small subunit ribosomal RNA", at positions 355 to 776 of the family's 1533-position model. The record is from RNAcentral. Lineage: Bacteria; Pseudomonadati; Verrucomicrobiota.
UGAGGAAUAUUGGUCAAUGGACGCAAGUCUGAACCAGCCAAGUAGCGUGCAGGAUGACGGCCCUAUGGGUUGUAAACUGCUUUUAUAUGGGGAUAAAGUGGGGAACGUGUUCCCUUUUGCAGGUACCAUAUGAAUAAGGACCGGCUAAUUCCGUGCCAGCAGCCGCGGUAAUACGGAAGGUUCGGGCGUUCUCCGGAUUUAUUGGGUUUAAAGGGAGCGUAGGCCGUUUGGUAAGCGUGUUGUGAAAUGUAGGAGCUCAACUUCUAGAUUGCAGCGCGAACUGUCAGACUUGAGUGCGCACAACGUAGGCGGAAUUCAUGGUGUAGCGGUGAAAUGCUUAGAUAUCAUGAAGAACUCCGAUUGCGAAGGCAGCUUACGGGAGCGCAACUGACGCUGAAGCUCGAAGGUGCGGGUAUCGAACAGG